CAGGCAGCCGUCCAUAGGGUGUAUUACGUAAUGUGCCUCCUCCGUCUUUGAGGCCCGAUUCCCCACAGAUUAGGCCAAGAGAUCCAAAAUCCUUCAGUUAGUUAAGCUUUGAAAAAGACCUUUGUGGCUACUUCUAGGAAUCCCAGCACAUACCUUCCCAAAUGUAAUCCAUCUUUUUAGAGCAUUCUCUGCAGGCAGUGAUGAAGGUUUUUCUUAGGACUAAAUCUCUGGGUUGGAACUGCCGGAUCUUGGCCCUUUUGUUAUAGCUGGAAAAGAGCUACUGCUGGUAGGCUGCGAUGCGGAUGAUGACCUUUUUGCAUUUUUCCUCUGCCAAAUCUAAGUUGUGGUUAUCUCAUUUCUGUUCUGCUCCUCUGCCAAAUCUAUAUGAAGCACUCUAUGUUCGUCUGAGUUAUGGUCGUCAGGGGCUCUACUUCCACCUACUUGGUGAAGUAGUCAGUUACCAUGAUUAUCAUGCCUCUGCCCCCAGUAGCGGGUGACAUUGGCCCUACCAAGUCAAUUGCCCACUGCAUGUAGUAGCGUGCUACCCUUGUUUGGGGCUUUCUAGACUCUAAUCUUUCCAUGGGGAGUGUGCCAUUAACUAGGUAGUCUAUUAUGGAAUCUUACCAAUUUGGAGUUGUACUAACUUGUGACACCUCGGCUGCUGGCUCUGCCUCUAUGCUUGGCUUAUCUAGAUACUCCACCAGAAUAGAGCGUUUGAGUUGGUGGUCAAGGGUGAAGCUUAGGCCGGUUAGCGCGUUUGAGUGAGGGUGUAAGUCUGAAAUGCCUCACGUUGCUUUUGUACCUUCUCUAAGUAUUGCGCCAUCUUCAUAUGUUUUGCCGUCUAUUCCCUAGUAGUCUGGCUGGUGAUUAGCUGGGAAUCAGAACGAAUUAUAAGCUUUUUCUCUGUUAAGUGUUUUACCAUUCGGAGGCCUAGUAGUAGGGCUUUGUACUCUGCUUCGUUGUUGGAUGCUUUGAAGCCUAUAGUGAUUACCUACUCGAGCAUUGAACUGUCUGGAUCACGCUUGCUUUCUAGCCCUCGUAGUUAGAUGCGUUGUCGAUGUGUAAAUGCCAGAAGUCUUCAUCGAUUGAAGCAUGCGUGGCUAGGGCGUGUUCAGUUGCCUUCGAGGCAUUAUUAGGUUGCUCUGUUGCUUCACUUAAGCUAGGCGUGAAGGCGCAGUAGGAAGUCGUGGAGCUUGGGCCAUGUUAAACGUAGCAAGGGAUGCUCAACUGGCGAUAUUGGGCCACUCUAGAGCUGAAUUAUGGAGCAAGGAUCGGCUGGGGCCAUGUGAUGCACAACAAGAGAUGAUGCUCAACUGCUGGUAUAUGUUGCUAAUGUGAAUAAUUUUUUGGGGCAAUGAGGACAAAACUUGUUUCUGAGUGUGUUCUUCUAGUGUUCGUUUGCCCUUGGCGCACCUUUUAGGUUGAGUUGUUGCGUUCGUUAGAAAACUUUGCAUCAGCCAGUGCCUGCGCCAAUAUCGUCGCGCGUCUGGAUUGGGCAGAAUAAUGUGUCAUGAAGAUGACUGCUUGUGUUUGAAGGUAUAACUUGAGCUUGUGGGUUGCAACAACUGUCACCAAAGUUAGCUUUUGAAUUUCUGGUAGCUGGUUUCCGCAUCGAGGAGAGCUUUUGAACUGUGGAAUAUAGGUAAUCGGGCCCCUAGCUUUUCUCGUAUGAGGGUAUAGCUUAUUGUUGCUUCAUAUACCGUCAAACAUGUGAAUAGGUCCUUUACUACUUCAGGUUUGGAUACUAGGGAGGUGAUGUUAGGUACUUCUUCAAGUCUUUGAAUGUGCAUUGGCGAGCCUUGUCCCAAAGUGCAUGAUUCUCCGCCAGAGCGAAAGAGUUUGCCAGAGUUAGAUCUUCUUUCAUGAUCAACUCUUCGAACAGCGGGUGGUCUACUAAAAGUCCUUUUUGGAAGGUUGCUCUAGCUAUCAAGUCGUUGCAUCCGACUAUCUUUGCCUUCUCUACUUUGAACCUCUUCACAUAGUCGCGAAGCGACUCCUUUGGGUUCUUCUUGACGUUGAACAAGUGGUCGGACUUCUUCUUAAUCAAGCGAUAUGAUGAUUAUUCUUUGGUGAAAACCAAAGAAAGUUCGUCGAAACUUCGGAUGGAUUGUGGUGGCAGGGUGUAGAACCAAUCUUGCACCUCGCCUUGUAGAGUGGUGGUGAAUAUCUUGCCCAUGAGAUCAUUGUUGUUUUGAUAGAGGAUCAUUGCACUUCAGUAGUGCUUUAGGUGCCUCCCGAGGCCCCAUCUCAUUUGAAUGAUGUGAAAUAUGGCAUGCUUAAUUUGUGUGGAGGCUCUACCUGCUCUAUCUAAUCCGUGAAGGGUGACCUAUUUAUGUUGGUCACAUCCUGUUACAGUGCCUCGUCAAUGACCUUGUUGCGUUGGAAAUCAUGCAAUCGCUUGGUCAUGAGCCUCUCUACUUCUUCCUGAAUUUACCUUUGUUGGGGGUAGCAGAGCUCUCGAUUGCCCCUAGUCAGGACCUAUUAGUCUAGGUUGCUCUUCCAUGUGUUCGGCUCAUCCAUGCCACGGUUGCAAUACAUGUGAUACAUUUCUAGUAGGUGAACGAAUUACUCGUAGGUUACCGGUUGAACUUGAGUCAGAUUAUGUGACUACUUAUCUCCA
This 2620-nucleotide long non-coding RNA is filed under the name Malus domestica (apple). Its description in RNAcentral is "long non-coding RNA (MDOM_LNC013038)". Lineage: Eukaryota; Viridiplantae; Streptophyta; Magnoliopsida; Rosales; Rosaceae. The record is from RNAcentral.